GCUCCGCAUGCUGAGGCCGGGCGCAAACUCAUUGCAGCCGCGGGGCGGCUCUGCCGCUUUAAGCGGCCUUGCCCAUUGUUUGCCCCCCGACCAAUGGCCGGGCCCAGCUCCCCCGCGCCUGGCCAAUGGGGAUGGCGCAGGGGAGUGAGCGCGCCGCCCACUAAUCUAUAUUAAAGCUAGUGGCGCCGCGUGAGUUCUCCACUGGCUCUGGCCAAAGCCAUCUUUGCAUUGUCUCUGCCCUGCUGCGCGCCGCUCCUCGGGCUGCCGGACCUGCCCCUCGCUUAUUUUUGUAUCAGAUCUAUUUUAUAUACACCUCUCCCCACGCACCAUGUCGGACACAGCCGUGGACACCAGCGCGGAGAUCUCCACCAAGGAUCUAAAAGAGAAGAAAGAAGUUGUGGAAGAGACAGAAAAUGGCAGAGAUGCACCAGCCAACGGCAAUGCUGAGAACGAGGAAAACGGCGAGCAGGAGGCUGACAAUGAAGUAGACGAAGAGGAAGAAGAAGGCGGCGAAGAAGAGGACGAGGAGGAAGAGGGUGAUGGUGAGGAAGAGGACGGCGAUGAAGAUGAGGAAGGCGACGCACCCACAGGCAAACGGGCAGCUGAGGAUGACGAGGACGAGGACGUCGAUCCCAAGAAGCAGAAAACCGACGAAGAUGACUAGGCAGCACAUAUAUAUAUUUUUUAAAAUAAGGAGAAAAACAAACAAAAGGCCAGCGCGACCUGUUCACUUUCAACGUCCCGUCGCAACCCCCCUGCCGUGGUCACCCUUCCCAAGUAGAGCGAACCUGCCCGCGAAGCCGCCGCCACUCGGAACGAAUGCCCGAAAAGAUUCCCCCCCAUCAGUGGGGCGAGAACCCCUCUUUCCCCAGCACCAAAACUUCAAGGCCCUGCUUUCUUUCUUAAAAAUACUUUAAAGGAGAAUUUGUUUGUAUUUUUUAUUUACAUUUUAUAUUUUUGUACAUAUUGUUAGGAGGUCAGCCAUUUUUAAGUGAUCUCGGAUUGACCAAAUGGGGGGCUUUGAAGUGUGUGUCUCUCUCUCUCGUUACCCAUCUCUGACUUUACUUGUGGUGUGACCGCGUCCCAACAAACCAUUCUCCCGAAGGAGGAAAAACGACCUUGUAAAAAAACAAAAACGCAAAAAAAAAAAAAUUUACAAUCUUAUUCCGAGCAUUCCAGUAACUUUUUUUGUGUCUGUCCUUUAGCUGUACUAUAAGUAGUGGGUUUGUAUGCGAUGGCAAGGCCAAAGAGAAAAGGUUUUUUUGGUUUUUUUUCUGUCUAUGAAGUUGCUGUUUAUUUUUAUUUUUAUUUUUUUUUGGCCUGUUUGAUGUAUGUGUGAAACAAUGUUGUCCACCAAUAAAGCGGAAUUUUAUUUUGCUGAGUUGUUCUAA
RNAcentral lists this long non-coding RNA (1391 nucleotides) under Gopherus agassizii (Agassiz's desert tortoise). Its description in RNAcentral is "lncRNA (ENSGAGG00000009008.1)". Lineage: Eukaryota; Metazoa; Chordata; Testudines; Testudinidae. The record is from RNAcentral.